RNAcentral lists this ribosomal RNA (253 nucleotides) under uncultured bacterium. RNAcentral describes it as "partial 16S ribosomal RNA". It matches the Rfam family "Bacterial small subunit ribosomal RNA", at positions 524 to 776 of the family's 1533-position model. The record is from RNAcentral.
UACAGAGGUGGCAAGUGUUGUUCGGAUUUACUGGGCGUAAAGGGUCCGCAGGCGGCUUUGUGUGUCAGAUGUGAAAGCCCACGGCUUAACCGUGGAAAUGCAUUUGAAACUACAGGGCUAGAGUACGGGAGAGGAGAGGGGAAUUCAUGGUGUAGCGGUGAAAUGCGUAGAUAUCAUGAAGAACACCGGUGGCGAAAGCGCCUCUCUGGACCGAUACUGACGCUCAUGGACGAAAGCCAGGGGAGCAAAGAGG